GUCCCCGUAGCUCAGCCAGAUAGAGUGUCACGCUACGAACGUGAAGGUCGCAGGUUCGAGUCCUGUCGGGGACG
Molecule: transfer RNA, 74 nt
Filed under: Rhodococcus (subgen. Prescottella) equi
Lineage: Bacteria; Bacillati; Actinomycetota; Actinomycetes; Mycobacteriales; Nocardiaceae
Description: Rhodococcus hoagii tRNA-Arg
Rfam family: tRNA
About the family: Transfer RNA (tRNA) molecules are approximately 80 nucleotides in length. Their secondary structure includes four short double-helical elements and three loops (D, anti-codon, and T loops). Further hydrogen bonds mediate the characteristic L-shaped molecular structure. tRNAs have two regions of fundamental functional importance: the anti-codon, which is responsible for specific mRNA codon recognition, and the 3' end, to which the tRNAs corresponding amino acid is attached (by aminoacyl-tRNA synthetases). tRNAs cope with the degeneracy of the genetic code in two manners: having more than one tRNA (with a specific anti-codon) for a particular amino acid; and 'wobble' base-pairing, i.e. permitting non-standard base-pairing at the 3rd anti-codon position.
Source: RNAcentral